UACGUAGGGUGCGAGCGUUAAUCGGAAUUACUGGGCGUAAAGCGUGCGCAGGCGGUUGUGCAAGUCAGAUGUGAAAUCCCCGGGCUCAACCUGGGAACUGCAUUUGUGACUGCACGGCUAGAGUGUGUCAGAGGGGGGUAGAAUUCCACGUGUAGCAGUGAAAUGCGUAGAUAUGUGGAGGAAUACCGAUGGCGAAGGCAGCCCCCUGGGAUGACACUGACGCUCAUGCACGAAAGCGUGGGGAGCAAACAGG
Molecule: ribosomal RNA, 253 nt
Filed under: uncultured bacterium
Lineage: Bacteria
Description: partial 16S ribosomal RNA
Rfam family: Bacterial small subunit ribosomal RNA
Source: RNAcentral